Molecule: unclassified non-coding RNA, 479 nt
Filed under: Hevea brasiliensis (rubber tree)
Lineage: Eukaryota; Viridiplantae; Streptophyta; Magnoliopsida; Malpighiales; Euphorbiaceae
Source: RNAcentral
GUUCACCAACUUGUUGAGAAUGCAGAUGAGUGCAUGGUUUUGGAUAACGAGGCCUUGUAUGACAUUUGCUUCCGAACUCUUAAGCUUACUACUCCCAGCUUUGGAGAUCUCAACCAUCUUAUUUCUGCCACCAUGAGUGGAGUGACAUGCUGCCUUCGCUUUCCUGGUCAACUCAACUCUGACCUCCGCAAGCUUGCUGUUAAUCUUAUCCCAUUUCCUCGGCUGCACUUCUUUAUGGUUGGUUUUGCUCCACUCACGUCUCGUGGGUCACAGCAGUACAGAGCCCUUACUGUGCCUGAGCUAACUCAACAAAUGUGGGAUGCUAAAAAUAUGAUGUGUGCUGCUGAUCCGCGUCAUGGCCGGUAUUUGACUGCUUCUGCCAUGUUCCGUGGAAAAAUGAGCACUAAAGAAGUUGAUGAACAGAUGAUUAAUGUUCAGAACAAAAACUCAUCUUACUUUGUUGAGUGGAUCCCCAACAA